AUCUAAACUCACAAAAGGAGAAUUAUUUGAAAGUUUGAAGGUGAGUGCAUAGAGAAAGAUAUACAACUACAAACAAAAAAUGAUCUCUCAUGGUUCCAAGUUGUAGUGCCCCACAAUAAAAUGAUGCAUGAAUCAAUUUCUUUCCUCAUUGGUCCCACAGGGACUUUUCAAGUUUGAGAGGCUGAGUGUCAAAUGCUAUUCAUUGUCAUAACUAGAAUCCAAAAAAGAUGAUAAGAUUCGUAAUGCAAUGGCUAAGAAGUUUUGCUACUCCACUUGCUUUGCAUUGGUAUAAGGUCUAUCCAUAGAUGUCCAAGCAUAAAUAUGACUUGAAGUAGAGAUGGAAACAUGAUGCCAAUAGAAUUGAUUGGUACCUAAUAUUCCAUGGAGAAAGGUGUAUAGGUAAGAUAUAACCUAUUAAACUAGAUUGGAGGUUUAGAAAUUCAUAAAAAUCAAUUAUAUUAUAUACUUAUACCAAAUAUGAGUUUUUUUUCUUUUUUAUUUUUUUCCCUCCUUUUGAAAUUCAAAUUUGAUCUUAAUACAUUUAUGGAUUUGCUUUUGAGAUCAACUUUAGUUGUGUCAGUUCUUUGAAGAAAAAAAAAACUUUCAUCAUGCCUUGAAGUGAAAUCUCCGUCCUCAAUCCCCAUUAAAUAACAUAUAAUUGACUUAUGUGGAGAGUGUAAAAGCCUACUAAAUUGGUUCAAUCUAUUUAGUAGCACCAAAAUAUCAAAGCAAAACCCUAUAAUAACAAUUUGCAGCAAUUAUCAUCUAUAAAAGGGAUUUUAUUUAUUUAUUUUGCUAAAAUGAGAAAGAAUGGAAUUCAAGUUAAUAAGUAGUCAUUUUAAUUACUUAGGAAAUUCAUGUUUUAAUCCAAUAUUUAAUAACAGUGUCUAAAGCAUGUAUUUAAUAUAAUAAAAAGUUAGAUAGACGCAUAAUUAAGACCAUUAUUUUCAAUAAUUCUAAUACUUCACCCAUUAAAUAGGAUAACAACUUGCAAGGACCUCAUUUCUUUCACACAAGCAUGUGGGUAUGUCUUAUAAUUAAAUAGCUCACCAUGCUUGGCUAGCUAUAUGGAAAAAUCAAACAUUAUGGGCAAGUUGAUGUACCCAGUUACCCCCAUACUUCAAUACUGACUAAGAUAGUCAAUGCUAUAGAAAAAUCAAACACUGUGGGCAAGUUGAUGUCCUUUUUAACCAUUAAUUUUCUUAUUAAGAAAUGAGGUACUUUUAGAGAGUUACUAAUUUCCUUAUUCUUAAGAGAAAAUUCACAAGAAAAAUUGAUGAUAUGAUUCAUGAAGAAAUAAACAAAAUCAAAAUCAGAUUUUGGAGAGCCUUACAUUAGUCAAUAAAGGCAUACUUUUUUCAAAUUAGAAAAAUGCAGGGGAUACCAAGUUAGGUUUCACUAGAAAUGUAGUAGCAAAUUCCAUAAAGGCAAAAUAACAAUCUAAACUCACAAAAGGAGAAUUAUUUGAAAGGUUGAAGGUGAGUGCAUAGAGAAAGAUAUACAACUACAAACAAAAAAUGAUCUCUCAUGGUUCCAAGUUGUAGUCCCCCACAAUAAAAUGAUGCAUGAAUCAAUUUCUUUCCUCAUUGGUCCCACAGGGACUUGUCAAGUUUGAGAGGCUGAGUGUCAAAUGCUAUUCAUUGUCAUAACUAGAAUCCAAAAAAGAUGAUAAGAUUCGUAAUGCAAUGGCUAAGAAAUUUUGCUACUCCACUUGCUUUGCAUUAGUAUAAGGUCUAUCCAUAGAUGUCCAAGCAUAAAUAUGACUUGAAGUAGAGAUGGAAACAUGAUGCCAAUAGAAUUGAUUGGUACCUAAUAUUCCAUGGAGAAAGAUGUAUAGAUAAGAUAUAACCUAUUAAACUAGAUUGGAGGUUUAGAAAUUCAUAAAAAUCAAUUAUAUUAUAUACUUAUACCAAAUAUGAGUUUU
This 1924-nucleotide long non-coding RNA is filed under the name Vitis vinifera (wine grape). RNAcentral describes it as "long non-coding RNA (VVIN_LNC007509)". The record is from RNAcentral. Lineage: Eukaryota; Viridiplantae; Streptophyta; Magnoliopsida; Vitales; Vitaceae.